This 401-nucleotide ribosomal RNA is filed under the name Ixodes scapularis (black-legged tick). Its description in RNAcentral is "eukaryotic small subunit ribosomal RNA". It matches the Rfam family "Eukaryotic small subunit ribosomal RNA", at positions 1177 to 1610 of the family's 1831-position model. Lineage: Eukaryota; Metazoa; Arthropoda; Arachnida; Ixodida; Ixodidae. The record is from RNAcentral.
UGUGGUGGGCGCCUUCACGACGGUGUGUAGCAUUUUAAAUUUUUGGGAGGAUUGACAGAUUGAGAGCUCUUUCAUGAUUCGGCGGAUGGUGGUGCGUGUUCGUUCUUAGUUGGUGGAGCGAUUUGUCUGGUUAAUUCCGAUAACAGACGACACUCUAGCUCAUUAAAUAGGUGCGUGGUGCUCUGCACCUUGCACCCUUAGAGGGACAAGCAGCUCAUCGCCGUACGAAAAAGGCCAAGAACAGGUCUAGUGAUGCCCUUACAUGUCCGGGGCCGCACGCGCGCUACAUUGAAGGAAGCGGCGUGUUUUUAUCCCUGUUUGUUAAGACAGUAAGCUCAGAAAAAAGAGACUUGAUCAAAUACAGGGGGCUAAUUGAAGUCCAUCGCGUUACCCCCGAGGAA